This 253-nucleotide ribosomal RNA is filed under the name uncultured bacterium. RNAcentral describes it as "partial 16S ribosomal RNA". It matches the Rfam family "Bacterial small subunit ribosomal RNA", at positions 524 to 776 of the family's 1533-position model. The record is from RNAcentral.
UACAGAGGGGGCAGGCGUUGCUCGGAAUCACUGGGCGUAAAGCGCACGUAGGCGGCUUCUUAAGUCAGGGGUGAAAUCCUGGAGCUCAACUCCGGAACUGCCUUUGAUACUGGGGAGCUUGAGUCCGGGAGAGGUGAGUGGAACUGCGAGUGUAGAGGUGAAAUUCGUAGAUAUUCGCAAGAACACCAGUGGCGAAGGCGGCUCACUGGCCCGGUACUGACGCUGAGGUGCGAAAGCGUGGGGAGCAAACAGG